GACGAACGCUGGCGGCGUGCUUAACACAUGCAAGUCGAGCGGUAAGGCCCUUCGGGGUACACGAGCGGCGAACGGGUGAGUAACACGUGGGUGAUCUGCCCUGCACUUCGGGAUAAGCCUGGGAAACUGGGUCUAAUACCGGAUAUGACCAAGGACUGCAUGGUUUUUGGUGGAAAGGUUUACUGGUGCAGGAUGGGCCCGCGGCCUAUCAGCUUGUUGGUGGGGUAAUGGCCUACCAAGGCGACGACGGGUAGCCGACCUGAGAGGGUGACCGGCCACACUGGGACUGAGACACGGCCCAGACUCCUACGGGAGGCAGCAGUGGGGAAUAUUGCACAAUGGGCGAAAGCCUGAUGCAGCGACGCCGCGUGAGGGAUGACGGCCUUCGGGUUGUAAACCUCUUUCAGCAGGGACGAAGCGAGAGUGACGGUACCUGCAGAAGAAGCACCGGCUAACUACGUGCCAGCAGCCGCGGUAAUACGUAGGGUGCAAGCGUUGUCCGGAAUUACUGGGCGUAAAGAGUUCGUAGGCGGUUUGUCGCGUCGUUUGUGAAAACUCACAGCUCAACUGUGAGCCUGCAGGCGAUACGGGCAGACUUGAGUACUGCAGGGGAGACUGGAAUUCCUGGUGUAGCGGUGAA
RNAcentral lists this ribosomal RNA (640 nucleotides) under Rhodococcus koreensis. RNAcentral's name for it is "bacterial SSU rRNA". It matches the Rfam family "Bacterial small subunit ribosomal RNA", at positions 28 to 685 of the family's 1533-position model. The record is from RNAcentral. Lineage: Bacteria; Bacillati; Actinomycetota; Actinomycetes; Mycobacteriales; Nocardiaceae.